CCUGAACGCUGGCGGCGUGGCUAAGACAUGCAAGUCGAACGGGACCCGCAAGGGUUCAGUGGCGGACGGGUGAGUAAUGUAUCGCUAAUGUGCCCCGGAAUUUGGGAUAGCUAGCCGAAAGGCUAGGUAAUACCAGAUGAUAUACCUUGAAGGCAUCUUCGAGGUCUCAAAGGAGUAAUCCGGUCUGGGAGCAGGCGAUAUCGUAUCAGCUAGUUGGUGAGGAACGGCUCACCAAGGCGACGACGCGUAGCCGGGCUGAGAGGUUGGCCGGCCACAUUGGGACUGAGACACUGCCCAGACUCCUACGGGGGGCUGCAGUAACGAAUCUUCCACAAUGCACGAAAGUGUGAUGGAGCGACGCCGCGUGUAGGAUG
Molecule: ribosomal RNA, 374 nt
Filed under: uncultured bacterium
Lineage: Bacteria
Description: bacterial SSU rRNA
Rfam family: Bacterial small subunit ribosomal RNA
Source: RNAcentral